AGUGAACGCUGGCGGUAGGCCUAACACAUGCAAGUCGAACGGCAGCACAGGAGAGCUUGCUCUCUGGGUGGCGAGUGGCGGACGGGUGAGGAAUACAUCGGAAUCUACUCUGUCGUGGGGGAUAACCUAGGGAAACUUACGCUAAUACCGCAUACGACCUACGGGUGAAAGCAGGGGACCUUCGGGCCUUGCGCGAUUGAAUGAGCCGAUGUAGGAUUAGCUAGUUGGCGGGGUAAAGGCCCACCAAGGCGACGAUCCGUAGCUGGUCUGAGAGGAUGAUCAGCCACACUGGAACUGAGACACGGUCCAGACUCCUACGGGAGGCAGCAGUGGGGAAUAUUGGACAAUGGGCGCAAGCCUGAUCCAGCCAUACCGCGUGGGUGAAGAAGGCCUUCGGGUUGUAAAGCCCUUUUGUUGGGAAAGAAAUCCAGCUGGCUAAUACCCGGUUGGGAUGACGGUACCCAAAGAAUAAGCACCGGCUAACUUCGUGCCAGCCGCCGCUGUAA
RNAcentral lists this ribosomal RNA (506 nucleotides) under uncultured bacterium. RNAcentral describes it as "partial 16S ribosomal RNA". It matches the Rfam family "Bacterial small subunit ribosomal RNA", at positions 29 to 523 of the family's 1533-position model. The record is from RNAcentral.